GCAAAACAAAAAUUAUCUACCACAUAAAUCAGGAAAACUGCCGUAUAUGGAUCAUAGGAUUACCACUAGACGCGCAUAUAUGGAAGUUGAUGAAGUGCGUCGGGGCAGUGUAGUCGAUCACAGGUCGACGUCGAUCAGGUCCUCAGCAGCUCGUCCACGUGCAACAGCAUCCUCCUCGUGCGCCAGCUCGUCAGGUUCCUCGUCAGCUCGUCAG
This 214-nucleotide long non-coding RNA is filed under the name Setaria italica (foxtail millet). RNAcentral describes it as "long non-coding RNA (SITA_LNC004448)". Lineage: Eukaryota; Viridiplantae; Streptophyta; Magnoliopsida; Poales; Poaceae. The record is from RNAcentral.